GACGAACGCUGGCGGCGUGCUUAACACAUGCAAGUCGAACGGAAAGGCCCUGCUUUUGUGGGGUGCUCGAGUGGCGAACGGGUGAGUAACACGUGAGUAACCUGCCCUUGACUUUGGGAUAACUUCAGGAAACUGGGGCUAAUACCGGAUAGGAGCUCCUGCUGCAUGGUGGGGGUUGGAAAGUUUCGGCGGUUGGGGAUGGACUCGCGGCUUAUCAGCUUGUUGGUGGGGUAGUGGCUUACCAAGGCUUUGACGGGUAGCCGGCCUGAGAGGGUGACCGGCCACAAUGGGACUGAGAUACGGACCAGACGCCUACGGGAGGCAGCAGUGGGGAAUAUUGCACAAUGGGCGGAAGCCUGAUGCAGCAACGCCGCGUGCGGGAUGACGGCCUUCGGGUUGUAAACCGCUUUCGCCUGUGACGAAGCGUGAGUGACGGUAAUGGGUAAAGAAGCACCGGCUAACUACGUG
This 468-nucleotide ribosomal RNA is filed under the name uncultured bacterium. Its description in RNAcentral is "partial 16S ribosomal RNA". It matches the Rfam family "Bacterial small subunit ribosomal RNA", at positions 28 to 507 of the family's 1533-position model. The record is from RNAcentral.